Molecule: ribosomal RNA, 861 nt
Filed under: Triticum aestivum (bread wheat)
Lineage: Eukaryota; Viridiplantae; Streptophyta; Magnoliopsida; Poales; Poaceae
Description: partial small subunit ribosomal RNA
Source: RNAcentral
AUGGCCAAGAUCAGCUCAAGAAGACGCAAGAACUUCAUCAACUCUCGGAGAGUUGGAGACAACGUCGUGACAGCGCUCACAGAGAAGGAAAAGGCAAUCCACGAACACUUCAACUGCAUCCUAGGAUCCACCCAACACCGAGCCACGUCGAUCAACUGGGAUGAGUUGCGCAUGCCUUCAGUGCAUGGAAAUGGCCUGGACAACCCAUUCUCUGACGAAGAGGUUUGGGCAGCGAUUAAGGAUUCACCCGCGGAGAAAUCGCCAGGGUCGGAUGGUUUCUGCGGCGUCUUCUUUUGGAGUUGUUGGAGCAUUGUAAAGGCUGAUAUCAUGCAGGCAUUCCAACAGUUCUACCACCUGGCCGGGCAAAACUUUGCGGCUCUGAACUCUGCGAUCAUCGCGCUCAUCCCCAAGAAAGACGGAGCGGAAUUCAUUGCUGAUUACAGACGGAUCAGCCUGAUUCAUUCAAUUGCGAAGCUGUUCUCCAAGGUUCUCUCAAUCCGGCUUGCUUCGAUGGUGUAGUCCAUCAUCUCGCCCACCCAGACGGCUUUCCUGAAGACUAGAUGCUUGCAUGACAGCAUUGUCUACGUCCAGAAUUGUGUCAAGAGCCUACACCGCAGGGAAACACCGGCAAUUCUCCUUAAGCUUGACAUCUCAAGAGCAUUCGAUAAUGUUUCCUGGGAAUAUCUCCUGGAGCUGCUCGCAAGGCUAGGGUUUAGUACACGCUGGCGGGAUUGGAUCACGCUCGCUACAUCAUCCUCGGCCAUUCUCCUCAACGCGUCACUAGGCACGCAAAUCCUGCAUCGUCGGGGACUGAGGCAAGGAGACCCCCCUGUCUCCUCUCCUCUUCAUCAUUGCGAUUGA